UACGUAGGGGGCAAGCGUUACCCGGAUUUACUGGGUGUAAAGGGAGCGUAGACGGCGAUGCAAGUCUGAAGUGAAAGGCGGGGGCCCAACCCCCGGACUGCUUUGGAAACUGUAUGGCUGGAGUGCAGGAGAGGUAAGUGGAAUUCCUAGUGUAGCGGUGAAAUGCGUAGAUAUUAGGAGGAACACCAGUGGCGAAGGCGGCUUACUGGACUGUAACUGACGUUGAGGCUCGAAAGCGUGGGGAGCAAACAGG
RNAcentral lists this ribosomal RNA (253 nucleotides) under uncultured bacterium. Its description in RNAcentral is "partial 16S ribosomal RNA". It matches the Rfam family "Bacterial small subunit ribosomal RNA", at positions 524 to 776 of the family's 1533-position model. The record is from RNAcentral.